UACGUAGGUGGCAAGCGUUAUCCGGAAUUAUUGGGCGUAAAGAGCGCGCAGGUGGUUGAUUAAGUCUGAUGUGAAAGCCCACGGCUUAACCGUGGAGGGUCAUUGGAAACUGGUCGACUUGAGUGCAGAAGAGGGAAGUGGAAUUCCAUGUGUAGCGGUGAAAUGCGUAGAGAUAUGGAGGAACACCAGUGGCGAAGGCGGCUUCCUGGUCUGUAACUGACGCUGAGUCACGAAAGCGUGUGUAGCAAACAGGAUUAGA
This 259-nucleotide ribosomal RNA is filed under the name uncultured prokaryote. RNAcentral's name for it is "partial 16S ribosomal RNA". It matches the Rfam family "Bacterial small subunit ribosomal RNA", at positions 524 to 782 of the family's 1533-position model. The record is from RNAcentral.